ACGGCAAUAUGAUGUUGAACCACCGAUACUCGUACGAUCACCGAAGUUAAGCAACGUCGAGUCUGGUCUGUAGCUAGAUUGGUGACCACUUGAGAAUACCAGGUGCUGUAA
This is a non-coding RNA of Acanthosepion pharaonis, 111 nucleotides long. The record is from the annotation of a GenBank genome assembly. NCBI's taxonomy places the organism in Eukaryota, Metazoa, Mollusca, Cephalopoda, Sepiida, Sepiidae.